This 1486-nucleotide ribosomal RNA is filed under the name metagenome. RNAcentral describes it as "bacterial SSU rRNA". It matches the Rfam family "Bacterial small subunit ribosomal RNA". The record is from RNAcentral.
GAUCAUGGCUCAGAUUGAACGCUGGCGGUACGCUUAACACAUGCAUGUCGAACGGUAGCAGGCCUUCGGGCGCUGACGAGUGGCGGACGGGUGAGUAACGCGUAGGAAUCUGCCUCAUAGUGGGGGACAACGUGUGGAAACGCACGCUAAUACCGCAUACGCCCUACGGGGGAAAGCGGGGGAUCUUCGGACCUCGCGCUAUGAGAUGAGCCUGCGUUGGAUUAGCUAGUUGGUAGGGUAAAGGCCUACCAAGGCGACGAUCCAUAGCUGGUCUGAGAGGACGAUCAGCCACACUGAGACUGAGACACGGCCCAGACUCCUACGGGAGGCAGCAGUGGGGAAUAUUGGACAAUGGGCGCAAGCCUGAUCCAGCAAUACCGCGUGUGUGAAGAAGGCCUUAGGGUUGUAAAGCACUUUCAAUGGGGAGGAAAACCUGCCGGUCAAUACCCGGUAGCUUGACAUUACCUUUAGAAGAAGCACCGGCUAACUCCGUGCCAGCAGCCGCGGUAAUACGGAGGGUGCGAGCGUUAAUCGGAAUUACUGGGCGUAAAGCGUGCGUAGGCGGUCCGUUAAGUCAGAUGUGAAAGCCCCGGGCUCAACCUGGGAACUGCAUUUGAAACUGGCGGACUAGAGUUUAGUACAGGGGAGUGGAAUUUCAGGUGUAGCGGUGAAAUGCGUAGAUAUCUGAAGGAACACCAGUGGCGAAGGCGACUCCCUGGACUAGAACUGACGCUGAGGUACGAAAGCGUGGGUAGCAAACAGGAUUAGAUACCCUGGUAGCCCACGCCGUAAACGAUGUCAACUAGCCGUUGGCCCUAUUUACAGGGUUAGUGGCGCAGCUAACGCAUUAAGUUGACCGCCUGGGGAGUACGGCCGCAAGGUUAAAACUCAAAUGAAUUGACGGGGGCCCGCACAAGCGGUGGAGCAUGUGGUUUAAUUCGAUGCAACGCGAAGAACCUUACCUACCCUUGACAUCCAGAGAAUCUGUUAGAGAUAGUAGAGUGCCUUCGGGAGCUCUGAGACAGGUGCUGCAUGGCUGUCGUCAGCUCGUGUCGUGAGAUGUUGGGUUAAGUCCCGUAACGAGCGCAACCCUUGUCCUUAGUUGCCAGCGGGUCAAGCCGGGAACUCUAGGGAGACUGCCGGUGAUAAACCGGAGGAAGGUGGGGACGACGUCAAGUCAUCAUGGCCCUUAUGGGUAGGGCUACACACGUGCUACAAUGGCCGGUACAGAGGGCUGCGAACUUGCGAAAGUAAGCGAAUCCCAGAAAGCCGGUCUUAGUCCGGAUUGGAGUCUGCAACUCGACUCCAUGAAGUCGGAAUCGCUAGUAAUCGCGAAUCAGAAUGUCGCGGUGAAUACGUUCCCGGGCCUUGUACACACCGCCCGUCACACCAUGGGAGUGGGUUGCAAAAGAAGUGGGUAGUCUAACCUCCGGGAGGGCGCUCACCACUUUGUGAUUCAUGACUGGGGUGAAGUCGUAACAAGGUA